RNAcentral lists this ribosomal RNA (496 nucleotides) under uncultured bacterium. Its description in RNAcentral is "partial 16S ribosomal RNA". It matches the Rfam family "Bacterial small subunit ribosomal RNA", at positions 28 to 506 of the family's 1533-position model. The record is from RNAcentral.
GAUGAACGCUGGCGGCGUGCCUAAUACAUGCAAGUCGAGCGAACAGACGAGGAGCUUGCUCCUCUGACGUUAGCGGCGGACGGGUGAGUAACACGUGGAUAACCUACCUAUAAGACUGGGAUAACUUCGGGAAACCGGAGCUAAUACCGGAUAAUAUAUUGAACCGCAUGGUUCAAUAGUGAAAGACGGUUUUGCUGUCACUUAUAGAUGGAUCCGCGCCGCAUUAGCUAGUUGGUAAGGUAACGGCUUACCAAGGCGACGAUGCGUAGCCGACCUGAGAGGGUGAUCGGCCACACUGGAACUGAGACACGGUCCAGACUCCUACGGGAGGCAGCAGUAGGGAAUCUUCCGCAAUGGGCGAAAGCUUGACGGAGCAACGCCGCGUGAGUGAUGAAGGUCUUCGGAUCGUAAAACUCUGUUAUUAGGGAAGAACAAAUGUGUAAGUAACUAUGCACGUCUUGACGGUACCGAAUCAGAAAGCCACGGCUAACUACGU